GCCCUGGUGUUGCAGUGGUUAAAGUGCUCAGCUGCAAACUGAAAGGCUGGUGGCUCAAAACCACCCUGUGGCA
RNAcentral lists this transfer RNA (73 nucleotides) under Loxodonta africana (African savanna elephant). It matches the Rfam family "tRNA". From Rfam's summary of the family: Transfer RNA (tRNA) molecules are approximately 80 nucleotides in length. Lineage: Eukaryota; Metazoa; Chordata; Mammalia; Proboscidea; Elephantidae. The record is from Rfam by way of RNAcentral.